UAAACUCCCUGUUGUUGAGGAAGAUAAUGACGGUACUCAACAAGGAAGUGACGGCUAACUACGUGCCAGCAGCCGCGGUAAAACGUAGGUCACAAGCGUUGUCCGGAAUUACUGGGUGUAAAGGGAGCGCAGGCGGGAGAACAAGUUGGAAGUGAAAUCCAUGGGCUCAACCCAUGAACUGCUUUCAAAACUGUUUUUCUUGAGUAGUGCAGAGGUAGGCGGAAUUCCCGGUGUAGCGGUGGAAUGCGUAGAUAUCGGGAGGAACACCAGUGGCGAAGGCGGCCUACUGGGCACCAACUGACGCUGAGGCUCGAAAGUGUGGGUAGCAAACAGGAUUAGAUACCCUGGUAGUCCACACCGUAAACGAUGAUUACUAGGUGUUGGAGGAUUGACCCCUUCAGUGCCGCAGUUAACACAAUAAGUAAUCCACCUGGGGAGUACGACCGCAAGGUUGAAACUCAAAGGAAUUGACGGGGGCCCGCACAAGCAGUGGAGUAUGUGGUUUAAUUCGACGCAACGCGAAGAACCUUACCAAGUCUUGACAUCCCUUGACGAACAUAGAAAUAUGUUUUCUCUUCGGAGCAAGGAGACAGGUGGUGCAUGGUUGUCGUCAGCUCGUGUCGUGAGAUGUUGGGUUAAGUCCCGCAACGAGCGCAACCCUUAUGGUCAGUUACUACGCAAGAGGACUCUGGCCGGACUGCCGUUGACAAA
This 711-nucleotide ribosomal RNA is filed under the name Faecalibacterium prausnitzii. RNAcentral describes it as "bacterial SSU rRNA". It matches the Rfam family "Bacterial small subunit ribosomal RNA", at positions 426 to 1162 of the family's 1533-position model. The record is from RNAcentral. Lineage: Bacteria; Bacillati; Bacillota; Clostridia; Eubacteriales; Oscillospiraceae.